This 421-nucleotide ribosomal RNA is filed under the name uncultured bacterium. RNAcentral's name for it is "partial 16S ribosomal RNA". It matches the Rfam family "Bacterial small subunit ribosomal RNA", at positions 360 to 773 of the family's 1533-position model. The record is from RNAcentral.
AAUAUUUCACAAUGGGGGCGACCCUGAGCCAUCCAUACCGCGUGUUUGAAGAAGGUCUUAGGAUUGUAGAGCACUUUAAGUUGGGAGGAAGGGCUUUAGGUUAAUACCCUGAAGUUUUGACGUUACCAACAGAAUAAGCACCGGCUAACUCUGUGCCAGCAGCCGCGGUAAUACAGAGGGUGCAAGCGUUAAUCGGAAUUACUGGGCGUAAAGCGCGCGUAGGUGGUUCAGUAAGAUGGGAGUGAAAUCCCCGGGCUUAACCUGGGAACUGCUUUCAUAACUGCUGAGCUAGAGUACGGUAGAGGGUAGUGGAAUUUCCUGUGUAGCGGUGAAAUGCGUAGAUAUAGGAAGGAACCCCAGUGGCGAAGGCGACUACCUGGACUGAUACUGACACUGAGGUGCGAAAGCGUGGGGAGCAAAC